CUGCCCAAUGAGGAAUUAAAUGGCCGCGGUACUUUGACCGUGCAAAGGUAGCAUAAUCAUUAGUUUUUUAAUUGAAAGCUGGUAUGAAAGGUUGGAUGAGAGAAUAACUGUCUCUAUUUAAAUUAUUUAGAAUUUUAUUUUUAAGUAAGAAAGCUUAAAUUUUAAUAGAAGACGAGAAGACCCUAUAGAGUUUUAUAAAUUUUAAUUUGAAGAGAUUUUAGAAUUAAUAAAUUUUUAUAUUAAGAUUUAUUUGGUUGGGGCGACUGAAAAAUUUAAUAAACUUUUUUUAACUAUUUAAACAUUAAUUUAUGAUUAGAUGAUCCUUAUUUAAAGAUUAAAAGAAAAAAUUACCUUAGGGAUAACAGCGUAAUUUUUUUAAAGAGUUCAAAUCGAAAAAAAAGAUUGCGACCUCGAUGUUGGAUUAAAAUAAAAUUUUGGUGUAGGAGCUAAAGUAUUUGGGUCUGUUCGACCCUUAAAAUUUUACAUGAUCUGAGUUUAAACCGGUGU
Molecule: ribosomal RNA, 507 nt
Filed under: Eupholus sp. 2 MVD-2017
Lineage: Eukaryota; Metazoa; Arthropoda; Insecta; Coleoptera; Curculionidae
Description: partial 16S ribosomal RNA
Rfam family: Bacterial large subunit ribosomal RNA
Source: RNAcentral